RNAcentral lists this ribosomal RNA (382 nucleotides) under uncultured eukaryote. Its description in RNAcentral is "partial 18S ribosomal RNA". It matches the Rfam family "Eukaryotic small subunit ribosomal RNA", at positions 592 to 976 of the family's 1831-position model. The record is from RNAcentral.
UGUAAGCGUAUACCAAAGUUGUUGCAGUUAAAACGCUCGUAGUCGGAAUUUGGCAGUUCCGGAUGUGUGCACGUCGUGUGCGCACUUCUCGGGGAUUGCUUUUGUGGUCUUGCGUAGGAUGAGGCACUUUUAUUAGUGAACGUCCUCACGCAACCACUUUUUACUGUGAGAAAAUCAGAGUGCUCAAAGCAGGCAUUUGCCGUGAAUGUAUUAGCAUGGAAUAAUAGAAUAGGACUUGGUUCUAUUUUGUUGGUUUGUUGGGACUGAGUAAUGAUUAAGAGGGACAGUUGGGGGCAUUUGUAUUUCGGUGCUAGAGGUGAAAUUCUUAGAUUACCGAAAGACAAACUGCUGCGAAAGCGUCUGCCAAGGAUGUUUUCAUUGA